This 2903-nucleotide ribosomal RNA is filed under the name Acinetobacter baumannii OIFC137. RNAcentral's name for it is "bacterial LSU rRNA". It matches the Rfam family "Bacterial large subunit ribosomal RNA". The record is from RNAcentral. Lineage: Bacteria; Pseudomonadati; Pseudomonadota; Gammaproteobacteria; Moraxellales; Moraxellaceae.
AGUCAAGUAAUUAAGUGCAUGUGGUGGAUGCCUUGGCAGUCAGAGGCGAUGAAAGACGUGAUAGCCUGCGAAAAGCUCCGGGGAGGCGGCAAAUAUCCUUUGAUCCGGAGAUGUCUGAAUGGGGGAACCCACCUACUUUAAGGUAGGUAUUGCAACAUGAAUACAUAGUGUUGCAAGGCGAACGAGGGGAAGUGAAACAUCUCAGUACCCUUAGGAAAAGAAAUCAAUUGAGAUUCCCUCAGUAGCGGCGAGCGAACGGGGAUCAGCCCAUUAAGUUAUGUGUGUUUUAGUGGAACGCUCUGGGAAGUGCGAACGUAGAGGGUGAUAUUCCCGUACACGAAAGGGCACACAUAAUGAUGACGAGUAGGGCGAGGCACGUGAAACCUUGUCUGAAUAUGGGGGGACCAUCCUCCAAGGCUAAAUACUCCUGACUGACCGAUAGUGAACCAGUACCGUGAGGGAAAGGCGAAAAGAACCCCUGUGAGGGGAGUGAAAUAGAUCCUGAAACCGCAUGCAUACAAGCAGUGGGAGCACCUUCGUGGUGUGACUGCGUACCUUUUGUAUAAUGGGUCAGCGACUUAUAUUCAGUAGCGAGGUUAACCGUAUAGGGGAGCCGUAGAGAAAUCGAGUCUUAAUAGGGCGUUUAGUUGCUGGGUAUAGACCCGAAACCAGGCGAUCUAUCCAUGAGCAGGUUGAAGGUUGGGUAACACUAACUGGAGGACCGAACCCACUGUCGUUGAAAAGCCAGGGGAUGACUUGUGGAUAGGGGUGAAAGGCUAAUCAAGCCUGGUGAUAGCUGGUUCUCCCCGAAAGCUAUUUAGGUAGCGCCUCGGACGAAUACCAUAGGGGGUAGAGCACUGUUUCGGCUAGGGGGUCAUCCCGACUUACCAAACCCGAUGCAAACUCCGAAUACCUAUGAGUACUAUCCGGGAGACAGACUGCGGGUGCUAACGUCCGUAGUCAAGAGGAAAACAAUCCAGACCGCCAGCUAAGGCCCCAAAAUCAUAGUUAAGUGGGAAACGAUGUGGGAAGGCAUAGACAGCUAGGAGGUUGGCUUAGAAGCAGCCACCCUUUAAAGAAAGCGUAAUAGCUCACUAGUCGAGUCGGCCUGCGCGGAAGAUGUAACGGGGCUAAAACUAUGUGCCGAAGCUGCGGAUGUAUACUUUGUAUACGUGGUAGGGGAGCGUUCUGUAAGCCGAUGAAGGUGUGUUGAGAAGCAUGCUGGAGGUAUCAGAAGUGCGAAUGCUGACGUGAGUAACGACAAAACGGGUGAAAAACCCGUUCGCCGAAAGACCAAGGGUUCCAGUCCAACGUUAAUCGGGGCUGGGUGAGUCGACCCCUAAGGCGAGGCCGAAAGGCGUAGUCGAUGGGAAAAUGGUUAAUAUUCCAUUACUUCUGUGUAAUGCGAUGAGAGGACGGAGAAGGCUAAAUCAGCCUGGCGUUGGUUGUCCAGGUGAAAGGAUGUAGGCAUGUAUCUUAGGCAAAUCCGGGGUACUCUAUGCUGAGAUCUGAUAGCAAGCUGUACUUGUACAGCGAAGUGGUUGAUGCCAUGCUUCCAGGAAAAGUCUCUAAGCUUCAGUUACACAGGAAUCGUACCCGAAACCGACACAGGUGGUCAGGUCGAGUAGACCAAGGCGCUUGAGAGAACUCUGCUGAAGGAACUAGGCAAAAUGGUACCGUAACUUCGGGAGAAGGUACGCUGUUGUUGGUGAUGGAACUCGCUUCCUGAGCUGACGACAGCCGCAGAAACCAGGCCGCUGCAACUGUUUAUUAAAAACAUAGCACUCUGCAAACACGAAAGUGGACGUAUAGGGUGUGAUGCCUGCCCGGUGCUGGAAGGUUAAUUGAUGGGGUUAGCGUAAGCGAAGCUCUUGAUCGAAGCCCCAGUAAACGGCGGCCGUAACUAUAACGGUCCUAAGGUAGCGAAAUUCCUUGUCGGGUAAGUUCCGACCUGCACGAAUGGCAUAAUGAUGGCGGCGCUGUCUCCAGCAGAGGCUCAGUGAAAUCGAAAUCGCUGUGAAGAUGCAGUGUACCCGCGGCUAGACGGAAAGACCCCGUGAACCUUUACUGCAGCUUGACACUGAACUUUGACCUUACUUGUGUAGGAUAGGUGGGAGGCUUUGAAGCUGGAACGCUAGUUCCAGUGGAGCCGUCCUUGAAAUACCACCCUGGUAAUGUUGAGGUUCUAACUCUGUCCCGUGAUCCGGGACGAGGACCGUGUCUGGUGGGUAGUUUGACUGGGGCGGUCUCCUCCUAAAGAGUAACGGAGGAGUACGAAGGUGCGCUCAGCGUGGUCGGAAAUCACGCGUAGAGUAUAAAGGCAAAAGCGCGCUUAACUGCGAGACCCACAAGUCGAGCAGGUACGAAAGUAGGUCUUAGUGAUCCGGUGGUUCUGUAUGGAAGGGCCAUCGCUCAACGGAUAAAAGGUACUCUGGGGAUAACAGGCUGAUACCGCCCAAGAGUUCAUAUCGACGGCGGUGUUUGGCACCUCGAUGUCGGCUCAUCUCAUCCUGGGGCUGAAGCAGGUCCCAAGGGUAUGGCUGUUCGCCAUUUAAAGAGGUACGCGAGCUGGGUUUAGAACGUCGUGAGACAGUUCGGUCCCUAUCUACCGUGGGCGCUGGAAAUUUGAGAGGAUCUGCUCCUAGUACGAGAGGACCAGAGUGGACGAACCUCUGGUGUACCGGUUGUGACGCCAGUCGCAUCGCCGGGUAGCUAUGUUCGGAAGGGAUAACCGCUGAAAGCAUCUAAGCGGGAAGCCUACCUCAAGAUAAGAUUUCCCUAGGACUUUAUGUCCUCUAAAGAGCCGUUCGAGACUAGGACGUUGAUAGGUUGGAUGUGGAAGCAUAGUGAUAUGUGAAGCUGACCAAUACUAAUUGCUCGUGAGGCUUGACUAUACAACACCC